GCCGGGCGCGGUGGCCCACACCUGUCAUCCCAGCGCCUCGGGAGGCUGAGGCAGGAGGAUCUCGAGUUCAAAGCCAGCCUCAGCAAGGGUGAGGCCCUAAGCAACUGAGGGAGACCCUGUGUCUA
This 125-nucleotide small RNA is filed under the name Marmota monax (woodchuck). The record is from RNAcentral. Lineage: Eukaryota; Metazoa; Chordata; Mammalia; Rodentia; Sciuridae.